UACGAAGGGGGCGAGCGUUGUUCGGAUUUACUGGGCGUAAAGGGCGCGCAGGCGGCUCAUUUUGUCAGGCGUGAAAGCCCCGGGCUUAACCUGGGAACUGCGUUUGAUACAGAUGGGCUAGAGUUCGGGAGAGGAGAGUGGAAUUCCCAGUGUAGAGGUGAAAUUCGUAGAUAUUGGGAAGAACACCGGUGGCGAAGGCGGCUCUCUGGACCGAGACUGACGCUGAGGCGCGAAAGCGUGGGGAGCAAACAGG
Molecule: ribosomal RNA, 253 nt
Filed under: uncultured bacterium
Lineage: Bacteria
Description: partial 16S ribosomal RNA
Rfam family: Bacterial small subunit ribosomal RNA
Source: RNAcentral